AAUUCAGAUCUAUUUAUACUUAUUUUCCUCUUUCUUGCCCUACAGAAAACUACAAAGACUGCCAUAUAUCCUGGCCACUCAUUCCCCACCUUAUUCUCAGACUUCUCAUUCAGGGAAGAACCUCUGAAAACUAAAAACUAAGAGGACUUCAAAAAGAAGCUGAUGGUUCAGAGCCAAUGGCUUUUCAACUGCUGUCCAGAAAUGGUAAAAGAUUUUCUGAAAGCAGGUCAUGGCAUUUAUGAAGAU
Molecule: long non-coding RNA, 246 nt
Filed under: Danio rerio (zebrafish)
Lineage: Eukaryota; Metazoa; Chordata; Actinopteri; Cypriniformes; Danionidae
Description: lncRNA (ENSDARG00000117722.1)
Source: RNAcentral